AUCAGCCUUUCGGGUGCGACUCUGUGGAGUGUGAGGAGCUUAACACCUUCAUGCUUUGCAUAUUUGUGCUCUUGGGUGUACUUGCCCGUGUGGUUGGUUAACAUCAAUUUUGGUGGUCAUAAAAUGACUGGAGGAAUGUAGCUUCGAUCUCGUAUUGAAGUGUUAUAGCCUUCGGUAGAUGUGAUGAUCGAGAUUGAGGAUUGCAACGGAUACCCUUCGGGGCUACCUGUCUGGUCUCUGAUCGUUGCUCUGGUGCCGAAAGCUUGCUUACGGUUAUCAAAGUCGAUGGUCAAUAGGUUAGAACGGGUUAAAUUCGUUAAGGAUGUUGACGUAAUGGCUUU
This 341-nucleotide ribosomal RNA is filed under the name uncultured Glomeromycotina. RNAcentral describes it as "eukaryotic LSU rRNA". Lineage: Eukaryota; Fungi; Glomeromycota. The record is from RNAcentral.